UUUGUAUGUUAAGAAAGCAGGACUGAAUGAAGGACAAUGUUCUCAAAGGUACAAACUUACGCGCGCACACUCCUUUUAUAUGAGCGUUUGAAGAGAUUCUAAACAUUGAAUACAGAAGUAAACAGAACUGCUAACUAAGGUCAUAUCCACACCAUACAUUUGAAGCAUAUGGCUUCUGCCAGAGAAUCCUGGAACCUGUAGCUUACCCUUCCCUACAGAGCUACAAUUCGCAGCACCCUUAACAAACUACAGUUCUCACAAUUCUUUUGGGGAAAACCUGGUGCUUUAAAGCCUAGAAGUGAGAAGAUGUCCAGUACUUCUACAAGAUGAGAGGUGAGAUCAGCUCUGUUUCUGAAGCUUCAUUGCAAUUGGAACACAGGCCACCCUGACUGUUCCUGGAUGCAGGAUCACAUGGAGAAAUGGACUUGUACAGCCAGCAGCAGAUAAGAGGGAUUCCCAUGAUCACAGGAGCUGGAAAAAGGGCUGCUGCAGUCUUGGAGACUGAUAGCCACUUUUGCUGACUUACUCAAAUGCAACCCAGAGGAAAAAUGUUUCUGCCUUACAUCUUUGUCUUGUUGGCUUUCUGAAUUAAGUGGUGGAAGUAAGAAUCGGCUACCUGAGCACUUUUUUCUCCGAGGCUCAAACUUAGUAUCUUAAUUAUAGUCAAGUAGUUCUUCCCCACCCCUAAGCAUAGUUAUUUUUUUAUCCAAAGCAGUUGUUCAGGCUGCCAUCCCCAUCAAGGGACCAGCAGGGGGAGGGGAGGGGCAUUUGAUGGUCACCUCUUUUGCUGACAGUUUUCCACCAUCUACAAAUGGGGGGGGGCACACCUGGAGGGAGCUUGGCAGUGGAAAACCAGCAGAAAGUAAAACACCACACCCAGGAGGCAUCCUUUGGAAAUUGCAGUCUUAAUGGCUGAUUUUGAGAGGAAAUGUUUCAGAAGGCUACACACUAUUAAUUAGUCAGUCAAAUUUUAUUAUGUAGUCACAGACUUGUUAAAACACACACAUACAAUUGAUGCCGUGUGUUCGGGAAGCCAAACUUAAGACUUGGGAGAGACAAUGCAAAUGGGUGAAAUGUAACGCAAAUGUGAUCUCCAGAAGACUCAGAAACUGCUUGAGUAUAAGCCAUGAAAGGCUCUUGGUGAUACUCGUGGAGAGAUGAACUGGGAUGCAUUUUCUUUGGACAGUUGCACAUUGUUUGCGUGCCAAGGACGUGCUUGCCUUCUCUGAGGAUAGCUUUGCAGCCACUCAUUGGCACAUCCUGUGAUGUGUGCUGCAGUGUUUCUCAGACAUUUGGAACUUGCACAACCCCUUUCCAAACUUCUUCUGCCCCCUGAGAUCCCACUCCCCAUCCAACACCAGCCACCUGUUCCAUAGCAGAAUGGGCAGAGAUCAUAGCAAACAUAAACGCCCUACUUUCCUGAGUCCACAAAUUAUGGCAGAGAUGCCUGGGUCUGUAAUUUACCAUUUCUGAAUGUUACAGUUUAAGUUGAGCAUAGUGAAAUAGAACAUUUUGG
Molecule: long non-coding RNA, 1516 nt
Organism: Rhineura floridana
Lineage: Eukaryota; Metazoa; Chordata; Lepidosauria; Squamata; Rhineuridae
Exons: 3
Source: RefSeq, a predicted model, not a curated record